CGAGUUAUAUGGGUGUUUGAAAUUCAGACACUCUUAUAUUCUAUUGCGAGUUAUAUAUAUGGGUGUCUGAAUUUCAGACACUCUUAUACUCUAUUGCGAGCUAUAUGGCUGUCUGAAAUUCAGACACCCAUGCAUAUAACUCGCGCGCAAUAUAAUAUAAGAGUGUCCGAAAUUCGGACACCCGUAUAGCUCG
RNAcentral lists this microRNA precursor (193 nucleotides) under Paramuricea clavata. Lineage: Eukaryota; Metazoa; Cnidaria; Anthozoa; Malacalcyonacea; Plexauridae. The record is from RNAcentral.